RNAcentral lists this ribosomal RNA (501 nucleotides) under uncultured bacterium. Its description in RNAcentral is "partial 16S ribosomal RNA". It matches the Rfam family "Bacterial small subunit ribosomal RNA", at positions 29 to 523 of the family's 1533-position model. The record is from RNAcentral.
AUUGAACGCUGGCGGCAUGCCUUACACAUGCAAGUCGAACGGCAGCACGGGUGCUUGCACCUGGUGGCGAGUGGCGAACGGGUGAGUAAUACAUCGGAACGUACCUUAUCGUGGGGGAUAACGCAGCGAAAGCUGUGCUAAUACCGCAUACGCCCUGAGGGGGAAAGCGGGGGAUCGCAAGACCUCGCGCGAUUAGAGCGGCCGAUGCCUGAUUAGCUAGUUGGUGGGGUAAAAGCCCACCAAGGCGACGAUCAGUAGCUGGUCUGAGAGGACGAUCAGGCACACGGGGAGUGAGACACGACCCGGACUCCUACGUGAGGCAGCAGUGGGUAAUUUUGGACAAUGGGGGCAACCCUGAUCCAGCAAUGCCGCGUAAGUGAAGAAGGCCUUCGGGUUGUAAAGCUCUUUUGUCAGGGAAGAAACACCGGCUCUAACACAGUCCGGGAAUGACGGUACCUGAAGAAUAAGCACCGGCUAACUACGUGCCAGCAGCCGCGGUAA